RNAcentral lists this transfer RNA (83 nucleotides) under Clostridiales bacterium. Its description in RNAcentral is "tRNA-Leu". It matches the Rfam family "tRNA". Rfam says of the family: Transfer RNA (tRNA) molecules are approximately 80 nucleotides in length. Their secondary structure includes four short double-helical elements and three loops (D, anti-codon, and T loops). The record is from RNAcentral. Lineage: Bacteria; Bacillati; Bacillota; Clostridia; Eubacteriales. RNAcentral also lists the same sequence under 1 other name.
GCGGGCGUGGUGGAAUUGGCAGACACGAUGGACUUAGGAUCCAUUGGGCAACCAUGCAGGUUCAACCCCUGUCGUCCGCACCA